GAGAGAGGCUCGCAGCAAUGGGAACUGCUAAUUCCCACGACCUUUGGUUGGACCCCCAGGCUCACUCG
Molecule: transfer RNA, 68 nt
Filed under: Cleisthenes herzensteini (sohachi)
Lineage: Eukaryota; Metazoa; Chordata; Actinopteri; Pleuronectiformes; Pleuronectidae
Description: tRNA-Ser
Source: RNAcentral